CUCUUUCCCUAUUUCAGAGCUCACCACUGUAUUCUAAACAGAAGCCAAUAGAGGGAGAAAAACAAAGCCAAGUGCAAAAGCUGUGGGCACUGAAAGUUUUGCUCCACCGGCCGCGCAGCACCCACUUGGGGUCGGGCUUUGGGACUUGGGGGAGUCAGGAGCAGGCGGGGGCUGGGGAGAGGACGAGGCCCUGGGGAGGGGCUGGAAAAGGCUUUUCACAGCGACUGGCACUUGAUAUUUCCAAGUCUUCUGGAUGUCACUCACCGGAAACCAGACCCUGCGGUGCGAAGACUCAGGACUCUGUGAUGUGGUGAGCUGGCCUUAUUCACCUUCUCCAUACCUUUCGAGGAUUUGGAUGCGUCUCUUGCACCUAUCUUAGCCGUCUUUCUUCCAUCCUGAAGAGACAUGCAUCUCUGUGGUGGCUCCUCCCUCCCCAAGGUCAUCGUGGCUGACUUGGGACCUUUCCCAGCUCUGUGUGUCUGUCUUGAAACACAGUUUAUCUUCUCUCCAUUGGUGCAUCCCAUAAGUGGCAAAGGCAAAAGCUGGACUGCAUUGUGUGGCCCCAGGGAGCUGCAGACAGAGGAACUGAGUCCUGGCCACUGUGCCUGCUGUCUCUUACAAGUUUAGAGAUGCUGGCAUUGCAUCGAAAUCGGACAACACUCCCUUCCCUCCCUUCCCAGGUACUCCAUUCCCAACCUUUUCCACCAACAGGUCCUUAUUCUCAGAAGCCAAAAAUAAUUUAUUGGUUUCCACUGUUCUCCUUGGCUGAAUCUUCAAGUACACCAACUCCCCCCUCUUCUGGACAGACUCUCCAUAAUUCAGCCAGCAUCUAAUCAGCACCUUGCUUCUCUUCCAUUCUUCCUUUCUCCAGAGUCAUGAUUCUUCCUUCUCAAGUCAAAGAGGAAUUACAAGCAAAUAGACACUAUCCUUGAAUGCAGUUUGGGUUACACAGAAUGGGGAAUGAACUCAAUCUCAUUUUUGCUUCUUUGUUGAAAUAAGCUCAGUAUCUCCCUUGCACAGAGAUUGAAUCGGCUUCACUAAGGCAAGCAGCAUUUCCUCUUUUCUCCCAGUCAGCAUCGCAGCUCUCUGCAUUCCCCUCUCGCAGAGGUGACUAUUCAUUGUGUUCUUUCCAGGAAUGUUUUCUGAGCUUCAGGAGGCCCUGAGUUACCUGGAUAAUUAGUGCUGUCCUUUUGCACAAUGCAAAAACAAAACUAUUAUGAGAUAAUUUCUUUAGCUAAGUUGGGAAUGGGGUUUAAAUGCGUGGGCAAAUAGAUCUGGCAGUCAAAUUCAGACUGUCAUAUUUUGUGAUCCACCCUCCCACCGAUCAUAGCAUAUAAGACUCUGAUGAACUUCACCAGCAACAGGGAAUUCUCCCUCCACUGCAGAUAAAACAAUGACAAUAUGGAAGUGAAAAAUGAAUAAUUCAAAAAUGGAAUUCUCUGUGGGGCUCCGUGCAGUGUGUGUUUCUGUGUGUGCAUGUGUUUUAUACAAGUCUCUGUUACUUUUGUAGUUUGGAUUGGACUUCCGUCGGUCCAUUAAUUUUGUUACUGGAUCCCACCACUUACCCAAAAUUAGCCUUUGGGUUGGGUGUUUCUGCAGUAUAGUCCCUUCUGUGGACACCAGAAAGAUAUUACAGGAAAGGGGUCCUGAUCAAGACCCCCAGAGACGGUUCUUGGACCUGGUUGGGAGGCCGAGGAUCACUUGAGGUCAGGAGUUCGAGACCAGCCUGACCAACAUGGUGAAACCCCAUCUCUACUAAAAAUACAAAAAUUAGCCAGGUGGGCCAGGCACGGUGGCUCACGCCUGUAAUCACGCCUGUCAUCACAGCACUUUGGGAGGCCGAGACAGGUGGAUCACCUGAGUUCAGGAGUUCAAGACCAGGCUGGCCAACAUGGUGAAACCCUGUCUAUACUAAAAAAACAAACAAACAAACAAAAAAAAAAACAAAAAUUAGCUAGUCAUGGUGGCCUGCACCUGUAAUCCCAGCUACUCAGGAGGCUGAGGCAGCAGAAUCCCUUGAACCCAGGAGGCAGAGGUUGCAGUAAGCCAAGCUCUAGCCUGGGCGACAGAGCUAGACUCCAUAAAAAAAAAAAAAAAAAAAAAAAAAAAAAAAAAAAAAGAAGAAGAAGAAGAAGAAAGAAAGAAUUAAUUCAUUAAUUCAGGAUGAGCCCGUAAAGUGAAAGCAAAUUUAUUAAGAAAGUAAAGGAAUAAAGAACGGCUGCUCCAUAGACAGAGCAGCCCCAAGGGCAGCUGGUUGCCCAUUUUUAUGGUUAUUUCUGGAAGAUAUGCUAAACAAGGGGUGGACUAUUCAAGCCUCUCGUUUUUAGAUCGUAUAGGGGAACUUCCUGACGUUACCAUGGCAUUUGUAAACACUCAUGAUGCUGGUGGGAGAGUGUAGCAGUGAGAAUGACCAGAGGUCACUCUUGUUGCCAUCUUGGUUUUGGUGGGAUUUGCCUGGCUUCUUUACUGCAACAUAUUUUAUCAGCAAGGUCUUUAUGUCCUGUAUCUUGUGCUGACCUCCUGCCUCAUCCUGUGACUUAGAAUGCCUAACCAUCUGGGAAUGCAGCCCAGUAGGUCUCAGCCGCAUUUUACCCAGUUCCUCUUCAAGAUGGAGGUGCUCUGGUUCAAAUGCCUCUGACAAUUUCACGGAUGGAUUCCAGGGACCUGUGAGCAGUCUCUGGAAGUCUUUGGCUAGGUGUGGUGGCUGACCAGGAACUGUGGCCCACCUUGUAGUUCCCACACAUGGGGAAGCAGACAGGUAGAGUGUAACCCACCAACCACUGCACACGCAGGAAACAGAUCCCAUGUCAGGACGCUUUGUAAGUGCUGCAUGCUUCCAGACCAGUGGAGAGAACCCAUCAGCACGUAUCUGUAGCCUUUACUUUUGCAAGAACAUAUCGCCGCAUUGUUUGGUAAUUUAACAUUUUUGACAAAAACAACUUGAAAGAGAUGAUGUUAAAAAAUGCUGGCAGGGAGCACACAGGAUUUUUAGGGUAGUGAAACCUCUCUGUAUGAUCCUACAAUGUCAUUAGACAUUUGUCCAAACCCAGAGAAAACACACCACAACCAAGAGUGAACCCUAAUGUAAACUCUGGACUCUGGGUGAUGAUGAUGUACAGUGUAAGGUUCAUCAAUUUUUUCUGUAAACCAAAAAUAAAAUUCUAAGUCCUCCAGCCAUCUAAAUGGACCCCUCCUCUUGGCCAAGAGCAUUCCAAAGCUAACCUGAAAAAACUAGUUCAGGCCAUGUUGGAAAGAGAAAGCCAGACAUGCCUCAUUAUCCCCUCCUCCCUUUUGGAAUUGCUGAUAAAACAGACUCUUUAAGUCUGACAAGAAACAUUUACAAUCUAUUCUCUCUAAAGCCUGAUAUCUACAGGCUUCAUUUGCAGGAUAAAACAUUGAUCUGGGCCAGGUGCAGUGGCUCAGGCCUGUAAUCCCAGCACUUUGGAAGGCCGAGGCGGGCGGAUCACAAAGUCAAGAGAUCGAGACCAUCCUGGCCAUCAUGGUGAAACCCUGUCUCUACUAAAAAUACAAAAAUUAACUGGGCGUGCUGUCACGCACCUGUCAUCCCAGCAACUUGGGAGGCUGAGGCAGGAGAAUCGCUUGAACCCAGGAGGUGGAGGUUGCAGUGAGCUGAGAUCGUGCCAUUGCACUCCAGCCUGGCAACACAGCGAGACUCCAUCUCAAAAAACAAAACAAAACAAAACAAAACCUUGGUCUCCACAACCCUUUAUCAUAACCCAGACAUUCCUUUCUACGGAUAAUAACUCUUUCAACCAAUUGCCAAUCAGAAAAAUUUUAAAUCUACCUAUGACCUGGACGCCCCUGUUUCCAAGUUGUCUCACCUUCGCAUCCUGAACCAUUGCAUAUCUUGCCUGUAUUGACUGAUGUCUCAUGUCUGCCUAUGAUGUAUAAACCAAUUGUACCCUGACCAGGUUGAGCACAUGUCAUCAGGACCUCCUGAGGCUGGGUCAUGGGUAUGUCCUUAACCUGGGCAAAAUAAACUUUCUAAAUUGAUUGAGACUUGUCUCAGAGACUCUUGGUUUCCAUUACAAAUGUGCCACGAUGGCAGGAAUGUUGAUAGCGUGGGAGGCUGUGUGUGUGUUGGAGAGGCAGACAGUAUAUGGGAAUUCUCUGUACCUUCUGCUCAAUUUUGCUGUAAACCUAAAACCACCCUAAAAAAUAAAGUCUGUUAAAAAAGCAAACACAUCAACAAAACUACAGUGGGUCAUCCCACCACAAAUCUUUGAUGAAAUGAGUUCAACUUAACCUUUUUUUUUAUUAGCCAUGCCAUAAAAUUUAAGUGUAUUUUUGUUCUAUUUAAUGAAAAAAAAAAAGAUGCUGGCAGUGAAUGAGGGACAGGAAUGAAGGGCACGUAUAACAGGUAAACCUUAGACGCUUGUCUAAAAAUAAUACCUACAUCUCCCUUUUCAGCUUUAAUUAUUUUAACACCCCUUGUGAGCUGUCUGAGAGCUGAGAUGUGAGCAUUCUCAGGAGCCUCUCUGCAGCCCCUGACACUUGGUUUUUUCUUUAUUUAGAGCCGACAUCAGGAGAGGAAGAGAAAUGGGAAACUGAGGGCCAGGAGGGAAUUUGGGAACAUUUUCAAAUCCACCUACAGCUGUCAGCAGGACGCCGGCUCCCUAAACAGCUGUGGGUACAAAGGAUCCUGAAAUCCACUCCAAAAACUUAGAUCUCCCUCCCAGCUGCUUUGCAGGGCUCGGGGAGUUAAUGAUGAAGUUCUUCCUUAUGUCGAGCGCAGAGCUCCAGCCUUCUGAUUGGAUGAGUGCUGAAGAUUAGAAAACGGCUUCUUCGGAGGAACUCCAGAGACAUACUGCUGAGAAAAUGAAGUCAGCCAUUCACGAGAAUAUACC
RNAcentral lists this long non-coding RNA (4868 nucleotides) under Homo sapiens (human). RNAcentral describes it as "non-protein coding lnc-CARD11-8:3". Lineage: Eukaryota; Metazoa; Chordata; Mammalia; Primates; Hominidae. The record is from RNAcentral.